This 253-nucleotide ribosomal RNA is filed under the name uncultured bacterium. RNAcentral describes it as "partial 16S ribosomal RNA". It matches the Rfam family "Bacterial small subunit ribosomal RNA", at positions 524 to 776 of the family's 1533-position model. The record is from RNAcentral.
UACGGAGGAUCCAAGCGUUAUCCGGAUUUAUUGGGUUUAAAGGGUGCGUAGGCGGCCUAUUAAGUCAGGGGUGAAAGACGGUGGCUCAACCAUCGCAGUGCCUUUGAUACUGAUAGGCUUGAAUACACUAGAGGUAGGCGGAAUGUGACAAGUAGCGGUGAAAUGCAUAGAUAUGUCACAGAACACCGAUUGCGAAGGCAGCUUACUAUGGUGUCAUUGACGCUGAGGCACGAAAGCGUGGGGAGCGAACAGG